GGGGCUGUAGCUCAGUGGUAGAGCACUUGCUUAGCAUGCAUGAAACACUGGGUACGAUCCUCAGCACCACA
This 71-nucleotide transfer RNA is filed under the name Marmota monax (woodchuck). RNAcentral describes it as "tRNA.Ala". It matches the Rfam family "tRNA". Rfam says of the family: Transfer RNA (tRNA) molecules are approximately 80 nucleotides in length. Their secondary structure includes four short double-helical elements and three loops (D, anti-codon, and T loops). The record is from RNAcentral. Lineage: Eukaryota; Metazoa; Chordata; Mammalia; Rodentia; Sciuridae.